This 150-nucleotide unclassified non-coding RNA is filed under the name uncultured Eurotiomycetes. RNAcentral describes it as "sequence contains ITS2". Lineage: Eukaryota; Fungi; Ascomycota; Eurotiomycetes. The record is from RNAcentral.
UCAACCCUCAAGCUCGGCUUGUCGUUGGGUCACACCGUUGAAGAAACGGUGGAUCCAAAAGACAAUGGCAGAGUCCGUGGGACCCCGAAUGCAGCGAGCUCUUUGGCACGCAUCUGGACGGUCUUCGGGCUCGGUCUGAACCAUUUCUAA